Molecule: small nucleolar RNA, 107 nt
Organism: Diospyros lotus (date-plum)
Lineage: Eukaryota; Viridiplantae; Streptophyta; Magnoliopsida; Ericales; Ebenaceae
Source: RefSeq, a predicted model, not a curated record
AUCUGAUGAUGAGGACAACUAGCACACAGCUUCUUGAAUCUCUCCCAAUACUCAUGCAAGCUUUCUCCAUUUAUCUGUCGAAUGCCACAAAUGUCAUUCCGGAUGGU